AUGGGAAGAAGUAUUCCCGUCUAUGAAGAUGUCCGUGACGAUUUCAUCAAUCUUAAAAUGAUAUGUUGUUCCAGUAUUUUGAAGGUGUUCAUAAGUGCGUAUGCUCAUGAAGUAGAGCGUGUGAGUUUGUACCGUGUUAUUAAGGAAAAAAAAUUGGGGGGAAUGGAGAUCGUGCUGUCGUGGGCGGUCCGCAGAAGGACGUGCCGCAACUGCUUCUGCAGCCACCGACCUGGGCCGUCAGAUCCAAAAGCGAGUGGCCGAGAUCGCGUGCUUUCCUCCUCUCCUCUUCUUCCCCGGCCCCCCUCCCCUCUCUCUCCACGCCGCUCUCGUUCCGUCAUUCCCUACCCACCCACCCAAUGCGCCCGUGAGUGUGAAAUCCCACUCUUAUCGCAGCGCACUGCCGCCGCGCCGUCCCGCAGCAGAGCGGCGCCGCCGACGCCUCGUUCCCCGGCUCCUCCGCCUCCCCACCUCUCGCGCGAGUCGCCGCCCCCCUUCUACCUCGUCGCGUCCCUGCUGUCUCCGCAACCCUGGGAAUUGGGUUUUGAGGCGUUUGAGGUGGUUCAUCUAAGCCAUAGGGCGUCCACUUUGUUUGUUAAUUUCUAA
This 603-nucleotide ribosomal RNA is filed under the name Triticum aestivum (bread wheat). Its description in RNAcentral is "partial small subunit ribosomal RNA". The record is from RNAcentral. Lineage: Eukaryota; Viridiplantae; Streptophyta; Magnoliopsida; Poales; Poaceae.